RNAcentral lists this ribosomal RNA (484 nucleotides) under uncultured bacterium. RNAcentral's name for it is "partial 16S ribosomal RNA". It matches the Rfam family "Bacterial small subunit ribosomal RNA", at positions 30 to 507 of the family's 1533-position model. The record is from RNAcentral.
AUUGAACGCUGGCGGCAGGCCUAACACAUGCAAGUCGAGCGGAUGAAGGGAGCUUGCUCCUGGAUUCAGCGGCGGACGGGUGAGUAAUGCCUAGGAAUCUGCCUGGUAGUGGGGGAUAACGUCCGGAAACGGGCGCUAAUAACGCAUACGUCCUGAGGGUGAAAGUGGGGGAUCUUUGGACCGCACGCUAUCAGAUGAGCCUAGGUCGGAUUAGCUAGUUGGUGGGGUAAAGGCCUACCAAGGCGAGGAUCCGUAACUGGUCUGAGAGGAUGAUCAGUCACACUGGAACUGAGACACGGUCCAGACUCCUACGGGAGGCAGCAGUGGGGAAUAUUGGACAAUGGGCGAAAGCCUGAUCCAGCCAUGCCGCGUGUGUGAAGAAGGUCUUCGGAUUGUAAAGCACUUUAAGUUGGGAGGAAGGGCAGUAAGUUAAUACCUUGCUGUUUUGACGUUACCAACAGAAUAAGCACCGGCUAACUUCGUG